AAAGCAAUGAAAUACGUGAAAGCAACCCUUCCUUUUUCUACUAAAAAUUUGAAACCUUGUUAUGCUACUGGACUGAAUCAGAUGUAAUGCAUUUGCUUCUGUUCUGACUGUUCUCUGGGAAGGCUGAAAGCAUUGUUUUAUCUCUCAGUCUGGUUCCUGCUCCUGCAAAGUUACUGUUUCCUCUCCUAACUUUGAUCUCUCUUUUCAAAACAGAAUAGCAAAUAGGGUCUUUGGGGACUGCUUUAGAGGACUUGUCAAAAUAUAUCUGUAUAAUGAGCAUUUCAUCAGGAGAUUGUUAAAAACCUCCUGUUUAAAAAAAAAAAAAAGAAAAAAAAAAAGGGCUGGUUUUAAGACAUUUAAUUUAAAAAAACCAAGCAAAAACCUGAAAACAAAACAACCCCACAACCCACCCAACCCAAAACCUUGUGAAAACGAGGUUUAGUGUAGCUCGUUACUGCUAAUUAAACCAAAAGUGUCUUAGAGCAGCGAGGUGUGACAGUUUUCUCUUUCAGUCUGUCAGACUUGAAUACGGCUUACACUAUCUAGUUGAUAGUGUCUUAGCAUAGAGAGGGAAUUAUAAAUUGCAAGUGGUGACAGUCAUCCAGUUCCUUUGCUUAGCUGUGGAAAGAGAACUUGUUAAAUCUCAGUCAUCUGUCAUGUUUAAGUAUCAAAAUAGCUGUGUCUGUUAAGCGCAUGUCUGCUGCUAACAGUUACUUCUGGUUUAGUUUUACUCCCUCAUGUAUAGCAAAUAGUAGCAGUUGUAAAUAUAAACACUAGUAAAACAUAGCAUGCAUCUUAGGAAAAGAUUAAGUUGUGUUGCUUACUCAUGUUACUCUCUAAUGCGCUACUACAAGGUGUUCUGCUGUUAGGAUUACUGUAGCGAGUGGCGUAGGAAAAACUACUGCAUUUCAGCUUUGAGUUUUAGAUUAAUAUAAAUCACAGUAAGUUUCCAAAGAAAGGAAUUCACCUCUCUCUAUUACUAUGAAAGUGCCUUGAAAGGAAAGAGGAAUGUCUGUGCUUAACUUAAAAACACUAAAGAAUAACUAAACAGACUCAGAAGUAAAAAGCCCUGGUAAAAAAACUUUAGUUAGAGCUUUCAGCUCUGAUUACACUUGUUCAUGUGUAGACAGGGCUUGGGGUAUGUGCAGUCUUUGGGCCCAAAACCAAGAUCUGUAGCCCUAGUACACUGAUGUCAGUAAGAUUAUUCUCACAUAAUGUUCAAGCCUUUAUUUUUCCUUUCAGAGCCAUCACAGGCACAUGCGCACACACAAAUCCACAUCUAUAUAUAUAUAUAUAUCUAUACACGCAGACAUAUAUGCAGUGCUGAAAGUAAUGCAACAGUGACUCACUGUCAGUGCAUCAACAAUUGAAUGUGAAACAUGGGUUAUUUUUGCAUUUCAGUCACCAACUAACAGGCGUGGAAUUAAGAGCUUUUCUCUUUAAGUAACAUAAGCUGGGCAAGUACUGAGCAGUUUGUGCUUGGAGGCUUUGGAAGAAGUAGUAACUGUUACACUUUGGCUCUACUACUUAGAAUUUAAUGUGGAAUACAUGAAAUCUUCAGCUGGGUAUUACCUGUCUGCAAACAAAUGCCUUUCUGAAGGUGUGAUUCAACAAAUGUUGCAGAGAGCUGCAUCUUCACAGCAGCUUUAGAUACUGCAUCACACUUCAUGGCCGUGUUAUGUCUGAGACAAACUAGCACUUAAUGAACUGAAUAAAGUUUUUGCUCACCCU
This 1731-nucleotide long non-coding RNA is filed under the name Strigops habroptila (Kakapo). Its description in RNAcentral is "lncRNA (ENSSHBG00005020218.1)". Lineage: Eukaryota; Metazoa; Chordata; Aves; Psittaciformes; Psittacidae. The record is from RNAcentral.